GCCCUUGUAGCUCAGUGGUAGAGCGCAGCACUUGUACUUCUACACAAGUCUCAUGCUGAGGUCCAUCGUUCAAUCCGGUGCGGGGGCA
Non-coding RNA from Hypoxylon sp. CO27-5, 88 nucleotides. Lineage: Eukaryota; Fungi; Ascomycota; Sordariomycetes; Xylariales; Hypoxylaceae. The record is from the annotation of a GenBank genome assembly.